Long non-coding RNA from Syngnathus acus (greater pipefish), 129 nucleotides. RefSeq lists it as uncharacterized. NCBI's taxonomy places the organism in Eukaryota, Metazoa, Chordata, Actinopteri, Syngnathiformes, Syngnathidae. The transcript is spliced from 2 exons. The record is from RefSeq and is a predicted model, not a curated record.
GAAAUUCUGGAGAAUUUGGCGUGAAUUUCAAAAUUGAAAAUUUGGAAUUUUUGGUAAGUGGGAAGUUGUGGAAUAGGUAGGCAAAAGAUGAACAGUUAAAAGUUGGAACAGGUUGAAUCGGUUAAAAAA